This 1926-nucleotide long non-coding RNA is filed under the name Ovis aries (sheep). RNAcentral describes it as "lncRNA (ENSOARG00000025889.1)". Lineage: Eukaryota; Metazoa; Chordata; Mammalia; Artiodactyla; Bovidae. The record is from RNAcentral.
UGCUCUCAAUUUAUAACCAAAUACUUAUGCCUGGCAAAGAACCAGUUCAUGGGAAAAUGAGGCAGUACUUCCAUCAACCCGAAGGAAGGUAUGGGCAGCUGGAGGACAGGCAUCCUUGGUGAGGACCCCUUGUCUUAUUUUGCAGUGCCUCUUCGAGGAUCUAGAAGAGAUCUAAGCAGCUGCUUCUGGAGAAAUCUCUUAGAGAUAGAAGCCGCAGAGUUGAGACUGUGUACCCAGCUGGAGACCAGCUUCAUGCUAGAUGAACUUCUUCACCGCAGAGCGUCUCACCUGGAAUGUUGCUGUUCAUUGGGAGCAGACCUGGAUCUAUUUACCGACUACCUGGAGAUUUGCUUGAGAAGGUUCUGAGUCUCAGUUUUAAGAUGGAGGGAAAAAGAAAAGGAGUGAUCUUUAAGGAAGACUGAGCAACAAGCUCUGGAAUAUUAUUGCCGUACUGUGCUUUGUCGCUCAGUUAUGUCUGACUGUUUGCAACGCCAUGGACUAUAGCCCACCAGGCUCCUCUGUCCAUGGGAUUCUCCAAGCAAGAAUACUGGAGUGGGUUGCCAUUUCCUUUCUCCAGAGGAUCUUUCCAUCCCAGGGGCCGAACCCUGGUCUCCCUCAUUGCAGGCGGAUUCUUUACCGUCUGAGCCAUCAGGGAAGCCCAAGAGUACUGGAGUGGGUAGCCUAUCCCUUCUCCAGGCGAACUUCCCCACACAGGAAUUGAACCAGGAUCUCCUGCAUUGCAGGUGGAUUCUUUUCCCAGCUGAGCUACCAAGGGGGAAGCCCAGUAUAUUAUUGAGGCCAAUAAAUGCCUUCUCGGUCCCUUGGGCAAGUGAAAUAGCGCCCUCCACUGGCCGGUUCCCCACAACACAAGAUGUCUCCAGGGAGCGCGUAUGCUGUUUAUUAAAAAAAUUUUUUUUUAAAAUAUAAACUUAUUUUAAUUGGAGGUUAAUUACUUUACAAUAUUGUAUUGGUUUUGCCAUACAUCAACAUGAAUCCGCCACAAGUGUACAUGUGUUCCCCAUCCUGACCCCCCUCCCAUCCCUCAGGGUCAUCCCAGUGCAGAUAUUUAGAGACAAAAUUACAUGAUAUCUGGCACUGUGGUAAAAUUAUCAGCAAAAAAAAAAAAAAAGAGGGGGUUGUUGCAAUAGAUUAACACACGUAUGAUACUGUAUUGAGUUUAUUAUUUCAAAGUAUCCCAGAGGCAGUGAUCCCAGAUUUAAUAUGAGGCUCCGCCAGAGAAACAAGUCCCUUUUAGGAGAACUUUGCAUAUUCUAAUUGUGUUUCCCCCCAGAUUUCUACUUACUGUACUAAAGCCAAAUUAAUUCCAGAGAGGGAGAAGGUUCUUUUGCUCUCGCCUUACUCAUGCAGCAUACAUUUUCAUUAUUCCUUCCUCUUUCUGGUCCUCAUCGACUUGCAGACAUGUUUAUAUUGCUGAAGGUGUAUUGAAUUGAUAAAACUUUGUAUGAUCAUUAUUCUUAAAACACAGAGUGCUGCUGUGAACCAUACCCUCUGCUAAGAGCUGACGGCCACUUAAAAGUUUUACUGGAUUCUCAUAACCACUAUUUAGGUAUUCUGAUUAGUCUUGUUUUCUAGAUGAGGAAACUGAGGCUCAGAGCAGAGAUUCACAACCACCUACUUUAACAUCAAGAAAGUCUGGAAUUUGGUAGCAGGUGUUUGAGAGCCACAAAAUUUGUGAGAUUUUUGUGCAAAUCACUUAAAUGUUUCUGAGUCUUGGAUAGUGAUUCCUUGCUAUAUCCUGGGAUCAUUGAGAACUGAAAGGAGUUGUGUAUGUGAAGGUGCUUGAUAAACUGUAGGCUUUAUUAUAAUUCUAAACAAUAAUUUAUAUCCCUUCAUUAAUAAUCUUCCUGUUGUUGGAUUUAAAUGGCCUUUUAUUUAUUUGUUUUAGUUGCUAGACAUAACAUUGCA